This 429-nucleotide ribosomal RNA is filed under the name Pseudomonadota bacterium. RNAcentral describes it as "Proteobacteria bacterium partial 16S ribosomal RNA". It matches the Rfam family "Bacterial small subunit ribosomal RNA", at positions 355 to 776 of the family's 1533-position model. The record is from RNAcentral. Lineage: Bacteria; Pseudomonadati; Pseudomonadota.
UGGGGAAUAUUGGACAAUGGGCGAAAGCCUGAUCCAGCCAUGCCGCGUGUGUGAAGUAGGUCUUCGGAUUGUAAAGCACUUUAAGUUGGGAGGAAGGGCAGUAAGCGAAUACCUUGCUGUUUUGACGUUACCGACAGAAUAAGCACCGGCUAACUCUGUGCCAGCAGCCGCGGUAAUACAGAGGGUGCAAGCGUUAAUCGGAAUUACUGGGCGUAAAGCGCGCGUAGGUGGUUCGUUAAGUUGAAUGUGAAAGCCCCGGGCUCAACCUGGGAACUGCAUCCAAAACUGGCGAGCUAGAGUAGGGCAGAGGGUGGUGGAAUUUCCUGUGUAGCGGUGAAAUGCGUAGAUAUAGGAAGGAACACCAGUGGCGAAGGCGACCACCUGGGCUCAUACUGACACUGAGGUGCGAAAGCGUGGGGAGCAAACAGG